RNAcentral lists this ribosomal RNA (548 nucleotides) under uncultured Glomus. RNAcentral's name for it is "SSU rRNA". It matches the Rfam family "Eukaryotic small subunit ribosomal RNA", at positions 548 to 1098 of the family's 1831-position model. The record is from RNAcentral. Lineage: Eukaryota; Fungi; Glomeromycota; Glomeromycetes; Glomerales; Glomeraceae.
UUGGAGGGCAAGUCUGGUGCCAGCAGCCGCGGUAAUUCCAGCUCCAAUAGCGUAUAUUAAAGUUGUUGCAGUUAAAAAGCUCGUAGUUGAAUUUCGGGAUCAAUUUAUUGGUCGUGCUAUUGUACGUACUGGUAUUAUUGAUUCCUACCUUCUGACGAACCAUGAUGUCAUUAAUUUGGUGUCAUGGGGAAUCAGGACUGUUACUUUGAAAAAAUUAGAGUGUUUAAAGCAGGCUCACGCUUGAAUACAUUAGCAUGGAAUAACGAAAUAGGACGCUUGAUUCUAUUUUGUUGGUUUCUAGGAUCGACGUAAUGAUUAAUAGGGAUAGUUGGGGGCAUUAGUAUUCAAUUGUCAGAGGUGAAAUUCUUGGAUUUAUUGAAGACUAACUACUGCGAAAGCAUUUGCCAAGGAUGUUUUCAUUAAUCAAGAACGAAAGUUAGGGGAUCGAAGACGAUCAGAUACCGUCGUAGUCUUAACCAUAAACUAUGCCGACUAGGGAUCGGAUGAUGUUAAUUUUUUAAUGACUCAUUCGGCGCCUUACGGGAAAC